AGCAGCCGCGGUAAUUCCAGCUCCAAUAGCGUAUAUUAAAGUUGUUGCAGUUAAAAAGCUCGUAGUUGAAUUUCGAGAUCAAAUUGUUGGUCGUGCCUUGGUACGCACUGGCAUUAUUGGUUUCUCCCUUCUGACGAAUCAUGAUGUCAUUAAUUUGGUGUCUUGGGGAAUCAGGACUGUUACUUUGAAAAAUUAGAGUGUUUAAAGCAGGCUUACGCUUGAAUACAUUAGCAUGGAAUAAUGAAAUAGGACGUUUGAUUCUAUUUUGUUGGUUUCUAGGAUCGACGUAAUGAUUAAUAGGGAUAGUUGGGGGCAUUAGUAUUCAAUUGUCAGAGGUGAAAUUCUUGGAUUUAUUGAAGACUAACUACUGCGAAAGCAUUUGCCAAGGAUGUUUUCAUUAAUCAAGAACGAAAGUUAGGGGAUCGAAGACGAUCAGAUACCGUCGUAGUCUUAACCAUAAACUAUGCCGACUAGGGAUCGGAUGAUGUUAAUUUUUAAUGACUCAUUCGGCCG
This 513-nucleotide unclassified non-coding RNA is filed under the name uncultured Glomus. Its description in RNAcentral is "SSU rRNA". It matches the Rfam family "Eukaryotic small subunit ribosomal RNA", at positions 569 to 1086 of the family's 1831-position model. Lineage: Eukaryota; Fungi; Glomeromycota; Glomeromycetes; Glomerales; Glomeraceae. The record is from RNAcentral.